CAGACCAGCAGGCUAGCAUGAUAGCACUGAGGCUAGACUGUUUAGCACGGCAUCCAAUAUCGCGGAUGAAAAAAGGAAUCGUCUAACUGCAGAGAGAGCAGAAAUGCUCAUAUUCCUCAAGAAGAACCUGCCGAUGCGAGGGCAAAGGGCCUUAAAUAAUGACUGUGGUGGCAGGUGUGGUUUGGCUCAGCUGCAGAGGGGACGGAGAGGGGAGUGGCUCGGGGAACAGUGCCAGGUGGAGGCGUAAUCGGCCUCAGGUGCAGGAAAUCAACAAUUGUUUGUCCCUGUAUUUCAGUAGUGGAGAUCCAGCGACAGAGAGUGAGACUAAGCCAGACGAGGAGGCUGGAGGCGGAUUUACACUGUGUUGAGAUACAAAAUAAAGUUGGUUCCUGAAGCUA
Molecule: long non-coding RNA, 398 nt
Organism: Gasterosteus aculeatus aculeatus (three-spined stickleback)
Lineage: Eukaryota; Metazoa; Chordata; Actinopteri; Perciformes; Gasterosteidae
Source: RefSeq, a predicted model, not a curated record